CCCGCGGAGGGACACCGCUAAAGCCACAACCCACCCCGCAUUUUCUUCGUAGAUAGAUUCAUCUGGCUCUCUUCUUCCCCAGAUUGCAACGACCGGCGACGACACUUUGGGGGAUGUCGCCUGCGCCCAGGCGGUGCUCGGAUCCACCGCAACAACUUGCCCCGCGAGCACCCCCUCUUCUCCCUGGAUUGCAGCUGCCGCCGAUGGGAGAUUGGAGCAGGCCGCCCCAUUGGCCGAGCUGGGAUCCACCGCACCGACCAUCCCCGUGAGAACCCGGCCCUCUUGUCCCCCCGAUUGAAGCGACCAGCGACGUCUCUCUUGAUUGAAGGAAGCCACCGCACUGCCGAGCUUGGAUCCACCGCAUUAACCCGCCUCGACCACCCGGCUCUCUUCUCCACUGCGAUGUGUGACAUCUCUCGCUUCAGUUAUUAAACUAAUGCCACCAAGCAAGAGCAUGUGAAGAGACACAGAGGAAGCAACAAGAAGAAUUGGAAGAUGUGAAGAAGAGCCAGCAAGAGAAGAAUGAAGCACAUCAAAAGAAUCAAUAGGAGACGGAUAACCUCAUUGGUUUUCUCGUAAGGGCUCAAGCAAGUCAGUAAGCAACUCAGCAGUCCUAGUCCAAACCAGAAGGUGCAUGAAGACCAUCCUUUUGUGAUGGAAAUAAUUAUUGAAUCAUACAUUGCAAUCAUCAUGACAACACAUGUGGUUUUUAGUUACCUAAAUAUUGCUUUUCAACUUGCCUAUUGUCGUGUCAAACUCGUGAGUUGGUGUUAUUUUUUACUGUCAUGCGUGUUUAGAGGGCAAUUUGGCGGAGAUGAUUGAAUAUAUAGUAUGAUUUGUCUUCCAUUUAUUUUAUGAUGCGAUUUGGAUCUUAACUUUUUAUAUAAUAUGAUGUGAA
Long non-coding RNA from Triticum dicoccoides, 898 nucleotides. RefSeq lists it as uncharacterized. The transcript has 3 exons. The record is from RefSeq and is a predicted model, not a curated record. NCBI's taxonomy places the organism in Eukaryota, Viridiplantae, Streptophyta, Magnoliopsida, Poales, Poaceae.